UCGGUAUGUACUGGCUUUACUGAUUCCUCCUUCUUGACGAACCGUGAUGCCAUUAAUUUGGUGUUGCGGGAAAUCAGGACUGUUACUUUGAAAAAAUUAGAGUGUUUAAAGCAGGCUAACGCUUGAAUACAUUAGCAUGGAAUAAUGAAAUAGGACGUUAAUCCUAUUUUGAUGGUUUCUAGGAUCGACGUAAUGAUUAAUAGGGAUAGUUGGGGGCAUUAGUAUUCAAUUGUCAGAGGUGAAAUUCUUGGAUUUAUUGAAGACUAACUACUGCGAAAGCAUUUGCCAAGGAUGUUUUCAUUAAUCAAGAACGAAAGUUAGGGGAUCGAAGACGAUCAGAUACCGUCGUAGUCUUAACCAUAAACUAUGCC
RNAcentral lists this ribosomal RNA (371 nucleotides) under uncultured Glomeromycotina. Its description in RNAcentral is "SSU rRNA". It matches the Rfam family "Eukaryotic small subunit ribosomal RNA", at positions 670 to 1043 of the family's 1831-position model. Lineage: Eukaryota; Fungi; Glomeromycota. The record is from RNAcentral.